This 393-nucleotide ribosomal RNA is filed under the name uncultured bacterium. Its description in RNAcentral is "partial 16S ribosomal RNA". It matches the Rfam family "Bacterial small subunit ribosomal RNA", at positions 523 to 918 of the family's 1533-position model. The record is from RNAcentral.
AUACGUAGGGGGCAAGCGUUAUCCGGAUUUAUUGGGUUUAAAGGGAGCGCAGGCGGAGAUGCAAGCGUGACGUCAAAUUUCGGGGCUCAACCCCGUCUCGCGUCGCGAACUGCGUCCCUUGGUUGCGGGAAGGGGAGGCGGAACUCGUGGUGUAGCGGUGAAAUGCAUAGAUAUCACGAAGAACUCCGAUCGCGAAGGCAGCCUUCCGGCCCGUCAACGACGCUCAUGCUCGAAGGUGCGGGUAUCAAACAGGAUUAGAUACCCUGGUAGUCCGCACAGUAAACGAUGGACACCCGCGGUUUGGCCUGUAUGGCUGAGCCGCCAAGCGAAAGCGUUAAGUGUCCCACCUGGGGAGUACGCCGGCAACGGUGAAACUCAAAGGAAUUGACGGGG